Molecule: long non-coding RNA, 1242 nt
Organism: Corvus hawaiiensis (hawaiian crow)
Lineage: Eukaryota; Metazoa; Chordata; Aves; Passeriformes; Corvidae
Exons: 3
Source: RefSeq, a predicted model, not a curated record
UUAAGGACCACCUCGGUCCAACCCCUGCCAUGGCCAGGAACACCUUCCACUAGACCAGGUUGCUCCAAGCACCAUCUAGCCCGGCCUUGACCACUUCUAGGGAUGGGGCAGACACAACUUCCCUGGGCAACUUGUUCCAGUGCCUCACCACCUUCCCAGUAAAGAAUUUUUUCCUAAUAUCGAAUCUAAACCUGCUCUCUUUGAAUUUGAACCCAUCCCGCCUUAUCCUGUCAUGACAUGGUCUUGUAAGUUAUCUUGUCACAUUUUUCCUGUAAGUUCCCUUCAGACGCUGGAAGGUCACAACGAAAACUACCUCAAAGCCUUCUCUUUUUCAGGCCGAAGAACCCCGGUUCUCUCAGCCUUAUCUUGCUGGAGAGGUGCUCCAUCCCUCUGAUCAACUCCUUCGUGGCCUCCUUUGAAGGUGUAAUUGUUACAGGCAGGUGUAUUAACCCUCUUUUUCACCACAGCGAGUAACAAAGCUUCCAGCAAAACUAUUUUAGGGGAGAAGUGUUUUGUCACACUGACUCAGUUUAGCGUGGUGUUAUCUCUGGUAUGUAGACAGAAACUUUUUUUUUUUUUUUUUUUAAUAGGAAGUCAAAAUGAGUAACACCUAAUGGAGUGACGAAGCAGAAUUUCCAAAGAGUACAGCUGUGAGAAGCAUCAACACCAAAGGAAUAAUGCUAGCAGUGAAGUCUGUGAGUAAAGUUCCUUGUGGACCACCGUGACUCAGACCAGCACAGAGGCUGCUCAGGCGCUCUUCACCUAAUGAGGCAUUGUGAAACCCAUAUCACAUGAAGUCAUGUGAAGUUCUAGGUUAAAAGAGCCCUUUAGGAGCUGCUUCAACAGAGGUAACUUUGGGUUUACAUAUCAUAGAAUCAUGGAAGAGUUUGAGUCGGAAAGGACCUUAAAGAUCAUCCAGUUCCAAGUAACUUCAGUGAGACGGUGAAAGUUUCUUUUGCCGCUUUCAUUCCCCUAACCUCUGGAGAUCCUCAGUACAUGGAGCUCCUAGAGUGGGUCCAGCGGAGGAUACAAACACGAUUGAGGGGCUGGAACAUCUCUGUUACAAGGAAAGACUGAGGGAGCUGGAGCUGUUCAGCCUGGAGAAGAGAUGGCUGAGAGGGGACCUCAUCAAUGUCUGUCAGUGUCUGCAGGAAGGGGUCAGAGCAUGGACCAGGCAUGUGGAGCAGGAACUGAUGCCCAGGAAGUUCUACCUGAAUAUGAGGAAGAACUUCUUCCCUGUGC